GACAGAGGGUGCAAACGUUGUUCGGAAUUACUGGGCGUAAAGCGCGUGUAGGCGGCCCUGCAAGUCGGAUGUGAAAUCCCACGGCUCAACCGUGGAAGUGCAUUCGAAACUGCAGGGCUAGAGUCCUGGAGAGGAAGGUGGAAUGCUUGGUGUAGAGGUGAAAUUCGUAGAUAUCAAGCGGAACACCGGUGGCGAAGGCGGGUCUCUGGGCCGUAACUGACGCUGAGGAGCGAAAGCGUGGGGAGCGAACAGG
This 253-nucleotide ribosomal RNA is filed under the name uncultured bacterium. RNAcentral's name for it is "partial 16S ribosomal RNA". It matches the Rfam family "Bacterial small subunit ribosomal RNA", at positions 524 to 776 of the family's 1533-position model. The record is from RNAcentral.